Molecule: ribosomal RNA, 509 nt
Filed under: uncultured marine bacterium
Lineage: Bacteria
Description: bacterial SSU rRNA
Rfam family: Bacterial small subunit ribosomal RNA
Source: RNAcentral
CGCUGGCGGCGUGCCUAAUACAUGCAAGUCGAGCGGACAGAAGGGAGCUUGCUCCCGGAUGUUAGCGGCGGACGGGUGAGUAACACGUGGGUAACCUGCCUGUAAGACUGGGAUAACUCCGGGAAACCGGAGCUAAUACCGGAUAGUUCCUUGAACCGCAUGGUUCAAGGAUGAAAGACGGUUUCGGCUGUCACUUACAGAUGGACCCGCGGCGCAUUAGCUAGUUGGUGAGGUAACGGCUCACCAAGGCGACGAUGCGUAGCCGACCUGAGAGGGUGAUCGGCCACACUGGGACUGAGACACGGCCCAGACUCCUACGGGAGGCAGCAGUAGGGAAUCUUCCGCAAUGGACGAAAGUCUGACGGAGCAACGCCGCGUGAGUGAUGAAGGUUUUCGGAUCGUAAAGCUCUGUUGUUAGGGAAGAACAAGUGCAAGAGUAACUGCUUGCACCUUGACGGUACCUAACCAGAAAGCCACGGCUAACUACGUGCCAGCAGCCGCGGUAAUAC